GAUCGCUCAAGGGUGAAUUGUGACUGAAUUAUUGAGCUGCAAACAAUAUUAAGCGGUUAUUUAUAAAUCGAGGUUAAUCUAAAUCAGUCUCGACUCGCCUUAAAAGUCGUCUGCAACGUGGAACGUGCCUCCAACAAUUCAUUGACACCGCUGUGACUGAUAUCUCGUACAGUGGAGACACUUGAGCCUCUGCGUCAUCCACGUCAGCAAUAACUCAUCACUCCUACUCCAGAAUGCCAAAGAGAAAGAGGGCCCCAACUUUUGAUGACAUUGCCUCAGUUGUUGAAAGGCUAGGCCUCUCACCAGAGGAAGUUACAGCAGCGAGCGACCAUCAAGAAAAUGGAUUAUUUUCUGUGAUGGUCAUUGAACUGGAAAGGUCUAACACCCUCAGCUAUCGCCGUCAACUAUACGACAUGUGGAGUAAGGGAAGGAUGGCCAAUGCACAACCCCACUCCAUCUCCCAGAUUUCCCAUUCACUAUCCCCAGGUCCCCUCAAUCACUACCCCAGCAAGUAUACACCACGCGGCUGCUACCUUUAACACCAGCACAAGCAGCUGAAAUGUUUGAUCCCGCUAAGGUAUCCCACCUUCCACCACUCCAACCCAAGCCUGGAUACAUUUUUCUGUUUGCAGGUAGUUCCUCGUCAUGUGAGGACUGGAAGGCGGACCAAAAAAGAUGGAUUCAGAAGGGAUCUCACAGCCUUCCUCGCCGUUCACCAAAACUAAGGGUGCGGUACUAUGCAGGAAAGGAAGCACCAGGGUGCCAAAAAAGGGAGUAUGAGUUGCUUCACCAGCCUGAAACUCCUGUGCUAAUUCACUACUUUGGUGAAGAGGCACACCAAUGUCCCCAACCCACGGUAACAGCCAACGGCCGCAAGCAAGGGAUUUAAUCCGAUCAGCUACCUUAAUUAUAGAUGAAAUGUCCCGACGAAAGACUGAAACACCUAGCAAAGUAUACUCUGAUAUGACCAAUAACCCAACACCACCCCCAAAUGCAUCAUUCAUGCCAGUUUACCGACCUCGCAACUUGGCACAAGUGAAGAACACAAUUCGUCGAGCAAGGGACAUCACUGUUUUGGACCGGGACGAGUUGGUGGCAACACAUAUGAUGGGUGACAUUCUCCCUGGAUUUGUCACCCAUAUGGAGACUGAACCUGCAACACUUCUGGUAGUGGCAGCACCAGAAAUGGUUGAAGAGGCCAAGGCAGUUAUUAAAAGCAAACACCAAGGAGCACACAUUUUUCACUGACACAGCGUUUGACCUCGGCAAUUUUUGUUUCACCCCUUGUUUUCAGUAAUGUAGCAUUUCAAGAGGUACCCGUCCUUCCCCUGGCAUUCCUCAUUCACACCACCCGGCACAUGGAAAACCACGAGUUCUUUCGCAACAUCCUUUCAUUCAUUCCCCAACUAUCAACUUCAAUCUUCUGCACAGACCAUGAGGUGGCUAUUGAGGGAACAAUCCAGUCUGUGCUGCCGCAAGCCAGGAUAGUCAAUUGCUGGAACCACAUCUCGAACAAUGUGACGCAGAAGAUGGGGUCAGAGGGUGCCGACGGUGUGGCCCGACUACCAGCAGGCCAUCAAAGAGCUCUUGGCCACGAAAUCAAGGAGUGACUACGAAUGCACACUGGAGAGUGUGUGCCUCCACUGGAGCCCUGAUUUCGAGGCUUAUUUCCAUCAGUUGCUCUCUGACGCCAUGGACAAGGGUGCACAAUAUGUGCUCAACAGCUUGGGCAUCCAGUCAGAUGAAAUUCCCAACAACUGCUCAGAGAGCUACAAUGCUGUCCUCAAGGCAUUGGUUUGAUGGAAGGUCAGAGUAGACAGUGGUUUAUCUACUCUACCAACUCCAAACCAAAGCCUUGAGGGAGGUGCUGCGGGGCUACUGUAACCUAGGGAAUUUCUACCUGACCCCAGAGUGCCAUGAGCAAUUUUCCAGGUGAAUGCUCACCACCAGUUUCCCCUACCACAUGUCAGAGGAAGACAUGGUGUAUUUUGCUGAAGGCAUCCAGUCCUGUGUGGCACAAGGAAGAGGUUGUCAUGGAAGAAAUCGGAGUGGCAGCCUUAGCCCGGAUGAUUUUGGCGAAAGGACGUAUCCUCCCGGUGACAAGCACCAAAUCGUUCCUCUACCAGGGCUUCUCAGACAAGCAGCAUGUUACUCUGUUGCCAAUGGAGAUGUGCUCCUGCUCUGCAUUUGACAGUUCCCAGAGGUGUGUCCGCUGACUGGCAGCUGUACUGGCCAUUGGCGGAAGUGUACCGCCCUAUGCCAAUAAAGCUGAGGACAGGGCAUCUGGCUGCAAAACGCUCUGGCCAUAAGUGUGCCACCAAGGAGCAUGUCCAGAUGGGAGCCAAACACCAGGAAGAAGAAUCGACCGUUCAUCAACAGGUGAAGCAAGUGUGGGCAAUGUCGUCGGCUGGAGUGGACAGGGCAACUGCAAUAAUUUUGUUGGGAGGGAUCCUUUGCCAUCCUGCACCUCCAUGACGUCCUUACGUUGAAGCCCAAUGAGUGGCUUUAGUGGGGAGGUAAUUGACUUCUAAUUCCAACUGAAGAGGAUUGACCUUCAAGUGGAGGGGGAUGAUUUAUUGUGGAUCACUUUGUGGCAGGGAUUAUCCUGCAUGGGGAUAAGGUGGCUGGCGAUGCGCAAGAACACCUUGUCAAAGAGCAGUCUGGAGCAGCACAGUUGCUGGAUUGGAGUUUGCAACGUGGGAAAUUACCACUGGAUACUCUUGGAUGGCAAUUGCAGGACCCACUCUGCCAUUGUCCUGGACCCUACUGGUUCCCCUAACGUGGAGAGCCAUAUGUGUGAGAACCUGGUGAAGCACAUCUG
This is a long non-coding RNA of Oncorhynchus keta (chum salmon), 2821 nucleotides long. RefSeq lists it as uncharacterized. The record is from RefSeq and is a predicted model, not a curated record. Lineage: Eukaryota; Metazoa; Chordata; Actinopteri; Salmoniformes; Salmonidae. The transcript has 7 exons.